RNAcentral lists this long non-coding RNA (215 nucleotides) under Elaeis guineensis (African oil palm). Its description in RNAcentral is "long non-coding RNA (EGUI_LNC055970)". The record is from RNAcentral. Lineage: Eukaryota; Viridiplantae; Streptophyta; Magnoliopsida; Arecales; Arecaceae.
GAUGGCCACGAAUGGUUCUAGGGUUGAUUGGGACUUAGUAUUCCUACUGAAAAAGUAUUUUUGAGAUUUUGGAGCCUAUAUGCUCUGAUUGACGAGUCAUUUGUUGCGUUGGAGAGUUGGUAACAUUUUGGAGGUGUAGAAAGACUUCAAGAGAGGUUUCAGAGAGCUUUUGUGAGGAUUUUGAAAAUUCUUGUGGAGAGACUCUUGUACAAGGA